Saccostrea echinata is the source of this 309-nucleotide long non-coding RNA. RefSeq lists it as uncharacterized. The transcript has 3 exons. The record is from RefSeq and is a predicted model, not a curated record. NCBI's taxonomy places the organism in Eukaryota, Metazoa, Mollusca, Bivalvia, Ostreida, Ostreidae.
AACUUAUUGCAAAAAUCUCUCGAUUUUUGUCUUAACUUCAUAUUUACAUGUACCUUGUUCUAUCGAACGUUGUGUAUUUUUCAAACGCAUAAGCAGUCAACGAUGUUUCCCGGGUGGUCCUGGGUGGUGAUGGGAUUCAUGGAGAUACAAAAAUGGAUGAAGGAAGAGAAAGAAGACAAGCCUAAAAGGCGGUAUAUCAUUAACCCAGAGGAUUUGGGUACAGACGUGGACACCGGUCUUCGUGAGGAGGAAUUCGAUGCUUAUGUAUCUGAGGAGAUUGACAAUGUUAUUGCACAGAUUCAAGCUUCU